This 497-nucleotide ribosomal RNA is filed under the name uncultured bacterium. Its description in RNAcentral is "partial 16S ribosomal RNA". It matches the Rfam family "Bacterial small subunit ribosomal RNA", at positions 28 to 507 of the family's 1533-position model. The record is from RNAcentral.
GAUGAACGCUGGCGGCGUGCCUAAUACAUGCAAGUCGAACGCAUAGCGAAAGGUGCUUGCACCUUUCAAGUGAGUGGCGAACGGGUGAGUAACACGUGGACAACCUGCCUCAAGGCUGGGGAUAACAUUUGGAAACAGAUGCUAAUACCGAAUAAAACUUAGUGUCGCAUGACACAAAGUUAAAAGGCGCUUCGGCGUCACCUAGAGAUGGAUCCGCGGUGCAUUAGUUAGUUGGUGGGGUAAAGGCCUACCAAGACAAUGAUGCAUAGCCGAGUUGAGAGACUGAUCGGCCACAUUGGGACUGAGACACGGCCCAAACUCCUACGGGAGGCUGCAGUAGGGAAUCUUCCACAAUGGGCGAAAGCCUGAUGGAGCAUCGCCGCGUGUGUGAUGAAGGCUUUCGGGUCGUAAAGCACUGUUGUAUGGGAAGAACAGCUAGAAUAGGAAAUGAUUUUAGUUUGACGGUACCAUACCAGAAAGGGGCGGCUAAAUACGUG